This 1534-nucleotide long non-coding RNA is filed under the name Homo sapiens (human). RNAcentral's name for it is "TRD antisense RNA 1". Lineage: Eukaryota; Metazoa; Chordata; Mammalia; Primates; Hominidae. The record is from RNAcentral.
GCUUUUUCUUUGACAGCCUCAGACUCAGGGCUGGGACCCUUGGGACUCAAAAGAGAGAAAAGGUGGAGAAAAGAGAAAGCUACUAUUUUCUUCAUUUUGCCCCUGCUAACAUCCAAUGCACUUAGGAGCCUCGAUGUCUGCUCUCCAAGAGUGGAGAGAGGAUGCCAGACAGAUAUUUGAGCAGAACAAAGAGAGCCAACAGGAUGAAGGCAUUCCCUGGCUGGUUGGACAAGCAACUGAAGAACAGGAACAGAAGUGAAUGAAAAGAGAAGAUGCUGUGUUUGUGUUUUCUCUUGGUUAGAAUGCUGUGAGUCAGGACCUUAGCUGCUGGGUGUCCUGGGACUGCCUUCGAUGAAGAACCUGAGGCUCACCUUGCUUAAGUGACUUGAGCAGCUUCACGCAUCUUUCUGACAUUCCAGCAAUACCGGAGCAUUGACAGUUGAUAAUAGCUCUAUGUGCUACCUCUCCAAGAAACAAAUUUGCAUUUUAACCUGCCCCUUCAAUGGCUGAACUUCAAAGGGUCACUGAUGAAUGCCACAGCAGAGAAAACUGCAAAUUGGAACAGCAGAGCUGUGCCUCUGGCCAUUUCCUGGAACUACAGAGGAGCAACUUGCCCCGGUUUCCAGUGGGUGAUGUUCCUCUUCUGCCACAGUCCCUGGCGAUGUUGAUGUGAUUGCCAUCAGAGCUCAGAAGCACAGAGCAGAAUCAUCCCCUGGAGGAGGAUUCCCUUCAGUGUAAGAAGUUCUUACAGAAUUAAUCCUCAAAGACUGUGGGUGGACUCUGCCAGGUUUUUCCCCGGGUGUACCAGAAGAGAGGAAGAGCCCUCAAAUACAGGAAAGUGCUCUUUUCAGUGACAGUAGUUCUUUUGGGCCCUGUGGCUAAGUGUGCUCCCACCCCAGCAGUAAGAUCACAGCUAAUCCUGAGAGGCAAGAGCUCACACCAGGCUACUGAAAGAAAAAGUGUCCUUUGUGGAUUGCAAGAGGAACUGGGACACACUGCUGGAAAUGAAGUGGCAGGUCAUAAACUAUCAUAAACUCAGGAGGAGAGGUGUUCCUUUUUGAGACACUCAUCACAACUAGAGAGAAUGCAGCUAAGAAAAUGCAGUCUUUAGGGGGACCUGGACUGUUGAAGUAUUUGAGCUAUUCGGAGGAAAUAGAAACUUGGAAGAGAUCUUUGUUCCACUAUUAUUUGGCAGCCCCUUACCCGCAGCUGCCAUUACUCCAGAUUCUCUCUGAUGAUCCUGCAUCAGGAGAAUGAGUUGACUGGGCACCACUGGGAAAUGUGGGCAGCUCCAGGCUGAACUAGAGAAGGGGCAUGUCAAAGGUCACUUAUUUGUGGCUUGACCCUUUGGAGGCCAGAUGUAAGAAUCAAUUUCUCACAGGUCCCAUGCUAACGCUUUUCAUAUUUAUUUCCAUCUGAGACUCACUUAGGCUAGGCAAAUAUCCCAUGGGUCUGUACCUCUCCAGUGCUUUCUUGCUCAUGUAAAAUUAGCUCAUUGGAAUGAAUAAAGAGAAUGGUAUUACUUUGGCUCGAA